AUGCAUGUCUAAGUGCAACCCCCAGGACGGGUAAACCGCGAAUGGCUCAUUAAAUCAGUCGAGGUUCCUUAGAUGACACGAUCGCCUACUCGGAUAACUGUGGCAAUUCCAGAGCUAAUACGUGCAUUCAAGCCCCGACCCCCGCGAGGGGGAAGGGGCGCUUUUAUUAGUUCAAAACCAGUGGCGCCUUCUGCGUUCGCGUGGUCGGCGCCGCCCUCCCACUGGUGACUCUGGAUAACUUUGAGCUGAUCGCAUGGCACACGUACCUGCGACGCAUCUUUCAAAUGUCUGCUCUAUCAAAUGUCGACGGUACGUGACAUGCCUACCGUGUUGGCGACGGGUAACGGAGAAUCAGGGUUCGAUUCCGGAGAGGGAGCACGAGAAACGGCUACCACA
RNAcentral lists this ribosomal RNA (396 nucleotides) under Gastropoda sp. USNM IZ 1448959. RNAcentral describes it as "SSU rRNA". It matches the Rfam family "Eukaryotic small subunit ribosomal RNA", at positions 51 to 414 of the family's 1831-position model. Lineage: Eukaryota; Metazoa; Mollusca; Gastropoda. RNAcentral also lists the same sequence under 2 other names. The record is from RNAcentral.